Molecule: ribosomal RNA, 253 nt
Filed under: uncultured bacterium
Lineage: Bacteria
Description: partial 16S ribosomal RNA
Rfam family: Bacterial small subunit ribosomal RNA
Source: RNAcentral
UACGUAGGGAGCAAGCGUUGUCCGGAAUCAUUGGGCGUAAAGCGCGCGUAGGCGGCCCCGUAAGUCCGCUGUGAAAGUCAAAGGCUCAACCUUUGAAAGCCGGUGGAUACUGUGGGGCUAGAGUCCGGAAGAGGCGAGUGGAAUUCCUGGUGUAGCGGUGGAAUGCGCAGAUAUCGGGAGGAACACCAGUGGCGAAGGCGACUUCCUGGCCUGUUCUUGACGCUGAGGCGCGAAAGCUAGGGUAGCAAACGGG